UGUAUCCUACGGGAGGCAGCAGUGAGGAAUAUUGGUCAAUGGGAGAGAUCCUGAACCAGCCAAGCCGCGUGAGGGAAGACGGCCCUAUGGGUUGUAAACCUCUUUUGUCGGAGAACAAAACCCGGGACGUGUCCCGGACCGCGCGUAUCCGAAGAAAAAGCAUCGGCUAACUCCGUGCCAGCAGCCGCGGUAAUACGGAGGAUGCGAGCGUUAUCCGGAUUUAUUGGGUUUAAAGGGUGCGUAGGCGGUCCGUUAAGUCAGCGGUAAAAUUACGGGGCUCAACCUCGUCGAGCCGUUGAAACUGG
RNAcentral lists this ribosomal RNA (305 nucleotides) under uncultured bacterium. RNAcentral's name for it is "bacterial SSU rRNA". It matches the Rfam family "Bacterial small subunit ribosomal RNA", at positions 333 to 636 of the family's 1533-position model. The record is from RNAcentral.